GAUGAACGCUGGCGGCGUGCCUAAUACAUGCAAGUCGAGCGAACGGACGAGAAGCUUGCUUCUCUGAUGUUAGCGGCGGACGGGUGAGUAACACGUGGAUAACCUACCUAUAAGACUGGGAUAACUUCGGGAAACCGGAGCUAAUACCGGAUAAUAUUUUGAACCGCAUGGUUCAAAAGUGAAAGACGGUCUUGCUGUCACUUAUAGAUGGAUCCGCGCUGCAUUAGCUAGUUGGUAAGGUAACGGCUUACCAAGGCGACGAUGCAUAGCCGACCUGAGAGGGUGAUCGGCCACACUGGAACUGAGACACCGUCCAGACUCCUAAGGGAGGCAGCAGUAGGGAAUCUUCCGCAAUGGGCGAAAGCCUGGCGGAGCAACGCCGCGUGAGUGAUGAAGGUCUUCGGAUCGUAAAACUCUGUUACUAGGGAAGAACAGAUGUGUAAGUAGCUGUGCACAUCUUGACGGUACCUAAUCAGAAAGCAACGGCUAACUACGUG
RNAcentral lists this ribosomal RNA (497 nucleotides) under uncultured bacterium. Its description in RNAcentral is "partial 16S ribosomal RNA". It matches the Rfam family "Bacterial small subunit ribosomal RNA", at positions 28 to 507 of the family's 1533-position model. The record is from RNAcentral.